This 559-nucleotide long non-coding RNA is filed under the name Mytilus galloprovincialis (Mediterranean mussel). Lineage: Eukaryota; Metazoa; Mollusca; Bivalvia; Mytilida; Mytilidae. The record is from RNAcentral.
GAACUGUUUUCUGAUCCAUAGCACUGGGUUACCUUCUGUUCUACUUUUGUCUUGUUUCAAAGGCCUUAAAAGAACUGCUCAAUUACUUAUCCGAAGCACCUGGGUUACCUUACAAUUUGCGUGCUGUUUUAAAAAUAUUUUGUUUAUUAUUGUAUUAAUUUGUGUGUUUUGUAUUUUUCAUAGUUGCAUUUAGUGUGCCGUGCAAAAAAUAUGAAAACUUGACGUUCGUGACGUCACAUACAAUAUGAAAACUCGACGUUCGUGACGUCACAUACCAAACAAUGACGUCAUUCAAAAAAUUUACCUAUUUUGAGGAAAAUUUUUCUUAAGCAAAAAAACUUUUAUGUAAAAAAAAAAAAAAAAAAAAAAAAAAAAGUAGGGGUGUGAUAAAGGGUAGGGGUGUGAUAAAGGGUAUGCGAUAAAGGGUAGGGUUGUGAUAAAGGGUAUGCGAUAAAGGGUGCGCAUCAAAGUUGCGCGAUAUGGAUUAAACAGCAGGCUAUUUAUCACAUAUGCAAAACUACUGUAUUUACUACUAAACAUAUGAUAAAUUGAUAUAAUG